Molecule: ribosomal RNA, 497 nt
Filed under: uncultured bacterium
Lineage: Bacteria
Description: partial 16S ribosomal RNA
Rfam family: Bacterial small subunit ribosomal RNA
Source: RNAcentral
GACGAACGCUGGCGGCGUGCCUAAUACAUGCAAGUUGAGCGCUGAAGGUUGGUACUUGUACCAACUGGAUGAGCAGCGAACGGGUGAGUAACGCGUGGGGAAUCUGCCUUUGAGCGGGGGACAACAUUUGGAAACGAAUGCUAAUACCGCAUAAAAACUUUAAACACAAGUUUUAAGUUUGAAAGAUGCAAUUGCAUCACUCAAAGAUGAUCCCGCGUUGUAUUAGCUAGUUGGUGAGGUAAAGGCUCACCAAGGAGAUGAUACAUAGCCGACCUGAGAGGGUGAGCGGCCACAUUGGGACGGAGACACGGCCCAAACUCAUAGGGGAGGCAGCAGGAGGGAAUCUUCGGCAAUGGACGAAAGUCUGACCGAGAAACGCCGAGUGAGUGAAGAAGGGUUUCGGAUCGUAAAACUCUGUUGGUAGAGAAGAACGUUGGUGAGAGUGGAAAGCUCAUCAAGUGACGGUAACUACCCAGAAAGGGACGGCUAACUACGUG